CAUUACUGACGCUCAUGGACGAAAGCCAGGGGAGCGAAAGGGAUUAGAUACCCCUGUAGUCCUGGCCGUAAACGAUGAACACUAGGUGUCGGGGGAAUCGACCCCUUCGGUGUCGUAGCUAACGCGUUAAGUGUUCCGCCUGGGGAGUACGCACGCAAGUGUGAAACUCAAAGGAAUUGACGGGGGCCCGCACAAGCGGUGGAGUAUGUGGUUUAAUUCGAUGCAACGCGAAGAACCUUACCAGGGUUUGACAUCCUGCGAACCUCUUAGAAAUUUGAGGGUGCCUUCGGGAAUGCAGUGACAGGUGGUGCAUGGCUGUCGUCAGCUCGUGUCGUGAGAUGUUGGGUUAAGUCCCGCAACGAGCGCAACCCACGUUUUUAGUUGCCAGCAUUUAGUUGGGCACUCUAGAAAGACCGCCGGUGAUAAACCGGAGGAAGGUGUGGAUGACGUCAAGUCAUCAUGCCCCUUACACCCUGGGCUACACACGUACUACAAUGCUACGGACAAAGGGCAGCAAACUCGCGAGAGCUAGCAAAUCCCAUAAACCGUGGCUCAGUUCAGAUCGUAGGCUGCAACUCGCCUACGUGAAGUAGGAAUCGCUAGUAAUCGCAGGUCAGCAUACUGCGGUGAAUACGUUCCCGGGCCUUGUACACACCGCCCGUCACACCAUGGAAGUUGGCCAUGCCCGAAGUCGUUACUCCAACCCUAGUGGAGGAGGACGCCGAAGGUGGGGCUAAUGACUGGGGUGAAGUCGUAACAAGGU
RNAcentral lists this ribosomal RNA (763 nucleotides) under marine metagenome. RNAcentral describes it as "bacterial SSU rRNA". It matches the Rfam family "Bacterial small subunit ribosomal RNA", at positions 735 to 1497 of the family's 1533-position model. The record is from RNAcentral.